CGCAGCCCCGGCCCGCGCCCGCUGCCGCCGCCGCUCCGCCGAGGGCAGGGGGCGGCCGGGAGUCCCGGCGGCGCGGGGUGGCGCGGCCCGGCUGCGGAGCGUCGCCGGGGUGAGAGGCUGGGGGCAGCAGGUUAGAAGACUGUUAGCGGGGCUCCCCUCCCUCCCACAAAAGCUCACCAACAGACUGCCCAGGGAAGGUUCCUCGACUGUCCGUCCUGCGCUCCAGAUAACACCGGGCAGUAAGGUGGACUAUCUUAUAUGUUCCAAAACAACCUUGUCUCCUUCGAUGCUCACGCUGCCACCAGCUCCCCUACAGACUGCUGCUUCUAACUUUUGCACAGUAGGACCUUUGGUAUUUCGCUCGGUGGAUCACCAGGGCUUCACCGUAGCUCCAAGCAAUCCUAUUCACAAGUAGCUUGCAAAUAGCUUGGACUGCAAAAAGCUCUUUUAGACGUGAAGCUGCACGCUCCCCUAAGAGCUACUGUUUUGAAGUGUAUAGACUUCAACGCAAGGCACCUCACUGCAGGAGGAGAGAAAUACUCUGUUCACCAGAUGCAAAAAACGCUUCUUGUAAGUGGUCAGCACUAUAAAAGGAAAUCAAGGAGAAGCGGAAGAAAUCUCUGGGCUUUUCCUCUGAAGACAGUUGCAUGUACACUCACAGGGAGCAUUGCGGCUGAGCACCCGACCUGAAUGUAUUUUGAAAUGUAACAUGAUACCUUCCUUGCUCCUGCUCUUUCUUCCUCCAUGGCUCUUCUUUUCUGUAUUUAAAGGAAUGUUUUUGGUAUCAGCCAUCCCUGUGCUUCCAGCCCUGCUCUAACCUCACUCUGUCCUCACCACUCACUCUCCCUGUCCAACUCCUCAAAUAACCUCUCUGGUUUCCUUAUCUGUGUCACCUCAGCCUCUCAGAGGCAUGUGCCGCUCUGCUGCCCACCCUCCUCAUGCCGCCAGCCUCCGGGCCUCUCCCCAGGACCACACUUCGCUCGGCUGUCUCCCCUUGACGCGGUGCUGAGCGUUGCUCUUCAACCUGUCAGCACCUCUUGUCCCAUCCCAUCCCAGCCUGGCCCUCUGGGAGCUUGCUCCAUGCGCUGCUGCUUCUCAGCCCCUAGUUCACCCCUCUCCUCCCACCGCCUGGCUGGCUUGCUGUGAGGCGUCGUUCAACCCUGCUCAUGCUUACAAAAGAAAAUUUCUGCGCGUGUAGAUCGUAGCAUGGUAGGGCAGCCCAGCUUGGAAGGGACCUCCAAAGAUCAUCUCGUCCAAACUUUCAUGGGAAGAGAAGCCUACAUGGGAUUAUCUGGCACCUUGCGCAAUCGUGUCUUGAAAACCUCCAGUGAUGGGGACUCCACCAUAUCACUGGGGACGUUGUUCCAGUGGAUGAUUGUUCUCAUUGCAAACAAUUCAUUUCUUACAUCAAAAUGAAACAUUUGUUGCUGCAACUUGUAGCUUUUACCCCUUGUCUGUUCCCUGUGGCUCCUUGUAAAAAGAAAGUCUCCGUCCUCUCUGUAGCUGUACCUGUAAGAUUUGACCAGUUUUUGUACAACAGAUGUUGGGGUUCUUGCUGCUUUUGCAGAACCUGCUGCCACGGGCAGGGCCAAGGGGCUUCAAUACACGCCUCUUCUACACACUGUUUAAUGGUAUUUGCCCUGGCACAUUCUUUAGCUGCGCAAUGAGAUGAUUAUACUUUGUCAUCCAUAGUAUUUCCACCCUAGAAUAUCAAUUUACAGCCCGGUGUUACAGGGUGUCCUCAAAAAGUGAGAAGUAAAAGGAGGGAAGUUAUAUAGCUGGGCUGGGGCUGCAGAGCCAGCCAGCCACUGUCAGGAUUGCAUUGCAGGGAUUCCCACCUUCCAAAACAUCCCCCUUCUGCCCCCAAAGUCCUACUGCCCCAUCCUCAAAGGCACUUCACACAUUUAACCUUAAAACCAGAGACCACCCUCACAAGCGCAAUGUGCCACAAUCCAACACUGAGGGGAAACUGGAGGGAUAAAGCCCAGGUAUUUUUGAACCAUCACGCAGACAACUACCUGGCUGUCUUCCAGAGUGCUCUUUCUUUAAGUGUGCUCACUGUUUCUCUAUAUAAGACUGCUGAUCCAUCAGUUAAUCAUAUUGAGUAAGUACCUAAAAUUAACUUUUAAAUUAUUAAUGCAUGAGAACAUAUCCGUUUGCCAUGUACAUUAGUUUAAAGGAUUACAGUGUGUAUACUGAGUGCCAUUAACGUUACAUUUCGAAGACAGUAAAUUGAAUUGUAUGGAAAUCAGAAGAGUUGAUGGAUUCCUCUACAAAUGCCUUUGACAAUGAUAAAAUGUUCAAUUGUAUUAUUAUUAAGCAUGUGUCUGUUCUUAAAUUUCUUUCUAAUACAUACAAAAGUAAGACACUG
Long non-coding RNA from Columba livia (rock pigeon), 2371 nucleotides. RefSeq lists it as uncharacterized. The record is from RefSeq and is a predicted model, not a curated record. The transcript has 2 exons. NCBI's taxonomy places the organism in Eukaryota, Metazoa, Chordata, Aves, Columbiformes, Columbidae.